UACGGAGGGGGCGAGCGUUGUUCGGAAUUACUGGGCGUAAAGGGCGCGUAGGCGGCUUCGUUAGUUGGGAGUGAAAGCCCCGGGCUCAACCUGGGAACUGCUCUCGAUACUGCGGGGCUAGAGAACGGGAGAGGGUAGUGGAAUUCCCAGUGUAGAGGUGAAAUUCGUAGAUAUUGGGAAGAACACCAGUGGCGAAGGCGGCUGCCUGGCCCGUUUCUGACGCUGAGGCGCGAAAGCGUGGGGAGCAAACAGGAUUAGAUACCCCCGUAGUCC
RNAcentral lists this ribosomal RNA (273 nucleotides) under uncultured bacterium. RNAcentral describes it as "partial 16S ribosomal RNA". It matches the Rfam family "Bacterial small subunit ribosomal RNA", at positions 524 to 796 of the family's 1533-position model. The record is from RNAcentral.